AACCUAUUAAGUGGCCCUUUGUCCAGGUUAUUUUUGUGGCCAUCUCUUCCACACCUCGAUGCUUUGAAAGAAAAGUAUGAGGAGCACAGGAUAACAGAUGCAGCUGCCUGGUAAAGAAGAUAAAGACUUCCAUUCCACCUAAGUACUGGGUGUGUCCUCUCCGUAAUGCAGCUAUAUUAAGACAGGCAUAUAGGUGUAUAUGACACUCAGGCACAGGACAGACGUGUUCAGUACAUUUACAACUUGCAUGCCCCUUGAGAGGCAAACAUGGUUGGUGUCGGGAUCUGGAAGAUUGCUCUUCUGCUUCUCUCUCUUUCCCUCUUGUCUGACAGAGGGGACAGUGCUUUAUCUGAAGAUAAACUUCAGAAAAUUAUGACAGAAAUGUUCAAGAGGUUUGACCAUCAGGCAUUAAUACAACAAAUGGAAGUGAUAAACAAUAAAAUACCAACUGGGAAGAAAGCUACAGGCAUACAGUACAGUAUUACUCUUCCGCUCUCAAAAGACGACUGUGAGAAAGGACAGCUGGGAAACAACAUCCCUGCAGACUUCACAGACAUCAGGAAAACUCUAGCUGAAGAAAAGGUGUACAACAAAGACAAUGUUGUUGCAGCGCUUCCUCACCAUAUAUAUGACCAAAAUGACCAAUUAAUAGCAACUGACCAUUCUGAAUACAGAGUCCUCAUGGCACUAGAACAACAAAACAUUAGCCCUGGAUGUCUAAUUAUCUACACUUAUUUCAGUCCUUGUUUCGCAAAGUGCCUGUCCAAUAACCAUCAUGCCAAUAUCAUUAAUCUACUCAAUAAUUUAAAAAACACAGACAUUGCAUUAGUUUUUAGUUCACUAUUUCAUUAUGACCGGAACAGCAAUACAAAAGAUCAAAUUUACGAGAAACUGAAAGCAAUCACUGCAGUCCCUGUUUAUUGCUGUUAUGAAGAAGGAGGACGUGUUAUCUGUGCAAAGUUUGAUAAAAAUAAAGAUAAGAACCAGCACUGCCUUUCAGAAAAAAUUGAAUCCAAAAUUCAAAAUACUGUUCAGUGAUUUCUACUGUCACUACUCUUAAAAGCCUGUGCCUAGCCAGAAUGUUGUCCUACUGUAUAUGUCAUACUAAUAUGUUUCCCUUUGUCUAUCACAAAUGUGAUUUCAAAUGCUAAACAGCUUUUAAAAUUGCACACAAUAAAAUAUAUAAAAUAAUAAAUUCAUAAUUUAUAUUCUGUGUGUUAAAGCAAGGGUGGCAGUUGUGCUCCUGGAGGUCCUGUGUAUGUGCAGUUCAUUGUUUCUACCAAAUAACUUGGCUCAGUUAUUAUAAGUAUUGAGUUCUGUACAUGGGCAUCAGUGCACUUGUAUAUUUAUACCACAGUACAAUGUUGUAUAUUGAUACAUUAAAAAAAACACCUGCUGUCAUCUAUGGGCAUAUCAAUAAAUGAGGCUAAAUGUCAGAUCAUGAAUAUGACUGCACUAAUUAAAUAAUUAAGAGUAGAAGUUUUAAAUGCGACCCUCCUUGUCCUUCCCUGGUGUACACACUCAGCAUAGGACGGCUACAUCUUUCAGUAGUAUGUAAUGCCAGAUAAUGACAUGCAAAAGUCCACUAGAUGGCAACAACUGAUUAACCCAAGUUUUUCCAGAGCACCACCUACUUAUUAAAAUGUAUCCAGUCGUCUGUGGCUUCUUUUCAUUCAGCAGUUCACCCCAAGAACUGUGCAGUUAUCGUACUUGAGAACAGUUCGACUAACCCAGUUGGCUAGGGCCAACCAAGAGGAGGUUGACCAAAGAAGUCACAUCUAGAUGACAAGGCAGGGAUACCCUGCCCCCUGUAACUCUACAUACCUGACUUAAGCCAUAUGCAAUUAAUUUGAGCCCCACAUCAGUCAAAGCACUGGAAUGUUCUGGAUUGAUUCUAUGCCACAGAGCAAGACACUGAACCAAGCUCAAUCUGGUUAUAUUACAAAGGAACCUCCAAGUUCACCCCUCUUUAUAGUGCUCGAGGGGUUUGGAUAUUUCACACCACUGUAUGUCCAACAUAAUAACCACAGCUAAAGACAACAUUUACUGCUUAUCAAGAACUGGAGAAGCCAAAGUACCCCC
Anguilla rostrata (American eel) is the source of this 2082-nucleotide long non-coding RNA. RefSeq lists it as uncharacterized. The transcript has 6 exons. NCBI's taxonomy places the organism in Eukaryota, Metazoa, Chordata, Actinopteri, Anguilliformes, Anguillidae. The record is from RefSeq and is a predicted model, not a curated record.